AUUAAUAUGAAAAAUAUUAUCAUUAGAUAGAAUUAGAAGACCAUUAUUAAUAACGCCAUGACAAAUAAUUUCAUUAGAAAAAGAAAUUGAGCAACUAUUGCUCUUUCCAUUUAUUUCAUAACCUUGUUGCAAUAGUGACGAUACAGAAAUAAUAUUUGUAAUGAUCUUAGGCAUAUAAUAACAGUUUUCUAGCUCUAAGAUCUUUCCAGAAGGUAACUUUAACAUAUAUGUCCCUACAGCCUCUGCUUGGAUUGACUCUCCUCCAGCACCGUAGAGCU
RNAcentral lists this long non-coding RNA (278 nucleotides) under Elaeis guineensis (African oil palm). RNAcentral describes it as "long non-coding RNA (EGUI_LNC047683)". The record is from RNAcentral. Lineage: Eukaryota; Viridiplantae; Streptophyta; Magnoliopsida; Arecales; Arecaceae.